Non-coding RNA from Pelobates cultripes (western spadefoot toad), 318 nucleotides. The record is from the annotation of a GenBank genome assembly. NCBI's taxonomy places the organism in Eukaryota, Metazoa, Chordata, Amphibia, Anura, Pelobatidae.
CUCUUUACCAGUUCAAACCUCUCAUUGUGGGGAAAGCAGUAAAAAUACACAACCAAGCUACCGUUGCCUACCUGAACAAAUAAGGAGAUACAAGGAUAAGAAAGUUGCACAUUCUUUGCACACAAAUUAUGUCAUGGGCUCAAAGUCAUCUUGAAGAAAUUUUCUACCCAUUUAAGAGGGAUAGACAACAUCAUUGCAGACGACUUAAGCAGAUCAAGAUGGUCCCAGAGCGAAUGGUCUCUGAAUACGGUCAUUUUUUAUCAGCUGGUGAAAUUAUUCGGUCUACCUGUCCUAGAUCUCAUGGCGAGAAGGUCGAAC